GGGCCCGCACAAGCGGUGGAGCAUGUGGUUUAAUUCGAUGAUACGCGAGGAACCUUACCAGGGCUUAAAUGUAACGGGACAGAUCUAGAGAUAGAUCCUUCUUCGGACUCAUUACAAGGUGCUGCAUGGUUGUCGUCAGCUCGUGCCGUGAGGUGUCAGGUUAAGUCCUAUAACGAGCGCAACCCCCCAUCGUUAGUUGCCAACGAGUAAUGUCGGGAACUCUAACGAAACUGCCGGUGCAAACCGUGAGGAAGGUGGGGAUGACGUCAAAUCAUCACGGCCCUUACGUCCUGGGCUACACACGUGCUACAAUGGUCGGUACAGAGAGCAGCCACUACGCGAGUAGGAGCUAAUCUUUAAAACCCGGUCUC
Molecule: ribosomal RNA, 371 nt
Filed under: uncultured bacterium
Lineage: Bacteria
Description: bacterial SSU rRNA
Rfam family: Bacterial small subunit ribosomal RNA
Source: RNAcentral